AAUAAUAAUAAUAAUAAUAAACCUACCCGCCAACCAUUGAAAGGGGAAAAAAAGAGAGAGGAGAGUUGAUGUUGGCUUUAAUAAAAAUGUGCCUGGAAAUAUGACAAAAGAUUUUUCAAUUUAUUUCUUCUGAAAUCUGUAGAAAUCCUGACAUUCUUACCAUUUAUGCAUGUUUCAAUUGUAUUCUUUUUCAGAGAGAGAGAGAGAGAG
RNAcentral lists this unclassified non-coding RNA (210 nucleotides) under Hevea brasiliensis (rubber tree). The record is from RNAcentral. Lineage: Eukaryota; Viridiplantae; Streptophyta; Magnoliopsida; Malpighiales; Euphorbiaceae.